UGGUGGAAUGAUUUGUCUGCUUAAUUGCGAUAACGAACGAGACCUUAACCUACUAAAUAGCCCGGCUAGCUUUGCUGGUCGCAGGCUUCUUAGAGGGACUGUCGGCUCAAGCCGAUGGAAGUUUGAGGCAAUAACA
This 136-nucleotide ribosomal RNA is filed under the name uncultured eukaryote. RNAcentral's name for it is "partial 18S ribosomal RNA". It matches the Rfam family "Eukaryotic small subunit ribosomal RNA", at positions 1299 to 1458 of the family's 1831-position model. The record is from RNAcentral.